This 1766-nucleotide long non-coding RNA is filed under the name Anas zonorhyncha (Eastern spot-billed duck). RNAcentral describes it as "lncRNA (ENSAZOG00000014930.1)". Lineage: Eukaryota; Metazoa; Chordata; Aves; Anseriformes; Anatidae. The record is from RNAcentral.
AUGAAUGCAAAAUGGUUUUCAUCGUUUGACUCUGCAUCUAUGCAGUUCAAACCCUCGCCUGUGAUUGCACAGAGAGUUUUGCUGGAGCAAAGGCUGAGCGAAAGCCAAGAUGAGACUGAUGCUCACCCAGUGAAAAGAGAAAAAUACCGAAGCAGGUGGUGCAGGCAGGGGACUGCUCGGUCUGCUGGCUGUUUCCUACCUUUGACCACGCAGGACUUCAUAGCAGCUGCCCUCCUUUCCGCUCCGACAUCUCAGCUAAGUGAGAUGAAUCCAGGUCUUUAUGGGGCCUUUUUUUCCAAGUGGCAGUGGUUAUGCACAGGGCAAUACGGUGCAAAUCAAGACAGAUGUGCUUCCUCUUUGCGCAGCAAUUACUCACAGAGCCCUUCGGCGGGCUGCAUCUCACAAAUCCUGGAAGCAAAAGGCUGCUAGGAAUCACAAAUACACCUGGGAGGUGCAGCUCUACUGGGAAGGGGAGCAGAUGCUGAAUGGAAGCCUGGGAAUCAUACGUGCAAGGAGUUUGUCGGUUCUGUGUUUGCAGAUUUCAACCGUGCUGCCAUUAUGCUUGGGUGCUUUUCUUAUUAAACAAGACGAGGCAAGCACAAUCAACAUGUCCUGUUUUGGUUGAAUCAGCAAGGAGGAGUUCAGUGCUCACUCUCCACAAAUAAUCCCAUUCUCCCAGGCAGCUGUCUUCUGCAAAAUGAAAGUGCAGACAUCUACAGUAUUACCCAGUGCCUGUUUGCACGGAGUCUGCUGUUAUCAUGUUAAUGAAGGGAGCAGAGAUAAUCACCUUAACGCAUAAAUACGCGGAUGCUGAUUCACUUUCUCUUAUUUGAGUCCAAUUUGCCAGGAUAUUUCUUUUUUUUCCCCCGCUGCAGGCUUGUUGUGUCUGGAAGGACAGCUAUUUUAUUAUUUUUUUUCCCCCACAAAUCAUCUUCAGACAAAUCAAGAAGCCUCUUGUCUAGAUGUGGUUAUUCCUUCUCAUUUCGCAGCCAUACACAGCACCAAGUCCCUGAUCUAAGGCUAGUUCAGACAAUUUUGUCUGAUCUGCAGCCAUAGAGGUCAGACCGAUCCCACAGCCUCAGCUAACAUCGUGUGGGUACCUUAUGGAUGGAGACACACUUAGAGGAUAAUUUCUCUUAUCCUCAGACCCUGCCGGUUGGUUACAACCAGAGAAGGAGCCCACAUGGUUGGGUAUAAUCCGAAUUAUGUGUCUAACACUCAGGCAGAUAAUGUCAGGGGACAGGAUCUCCCUGCUGCACAAAUGGGGAGUCGGAUAUUGUGGCAGUCUGCCGAUAACCCUACAUGUUUCCUUCAGUCCCCAACCCCAAGAGUCAGGUUAAGAAGCAUGUCCCUUAUUUACUUCUCAGAGAAUUUCUUUUUCAUAUUAAUGUGUGCUGAAAAUUAUUAAUAAUAAUAAAAAUCCUAGCGUGUUGGAUGUUCAUAGGCUCAAAAUGCAGAAUAUCAAUUAGCCCCCAGAGCAAUGCUUUUUCCAUGUUCCCAUAUAUAUAUAUAUAUAUAUAUAUUUAUUUUUUUUUUCCAAGCCUGACUAAUGAUAGCAGAACAUCUGGUGUUGGCCAUGCUUCACGUGGGAGGCUCAGCUACGGCGCGAGGACUGCGUGUGCCAGCCGGAGGCUGGCAUCUCCCCAGCACCGCUCCCACUGCUCCCACACCCCAGGGAGCCCCGAUCCCAGUGGGAUCUGGGACAAGGCACUGCUGUCACAGCGGGGUGGCAGGGCACGAGGAUUCGAGGGUUGGGACAACUGGGA